This 292-nucleotide ribosomal RNA is filed under the name uncultured Bacteroidota bacterium. Its description in RNAcentral is "uncultured Bacteroidetes bacterium partial 16S ribosomal RNA". The record is from RNAcentral. Lineage: Bacteria; Pseudomonadati; Bacteroidota.
GGACUACCGGGGUAUCUAAUCCUGUUUGAUCCCCACGCUUUCGUGCAUCAGUGUCAAUAAUAGCGUAGCGAGCUGCCUUCGCAAUGGGUGUUCUAUGUCAUAUCUAAGCAUUUCACCGCUACAUGACAUAUUCCGCUCACCUCCACUAUAUUCAAGACAGAUAGUAUCAACGGCAGUUUCUAAGUUAAGCUUAGAGAUUUCACCACUGACUUACCUGCCCACCUACGCACCCUUUAAACCCAGUGAAUCCGGAUAACGCUUGCACCCUCCGUAUUACCGCGGCUGCUGGCAC